AAUCUUCCGCAAUGGACGAAAGUCUGACGGAGCAACGCCGCGUGAGCGAAGAAGGUCUCCGGAUCGUAAAGCUCUGUUGUUAGGGAAGAACAAGUACCGGAGUAACUGUCGGUACCUUGACGGUACCUAACCAGAAAGCCACGGCUAACCUCGUUCCAGCAGCCGCGGUAAUACGUAGGUGGCAAGCGUUGUCCGGAAUCAUUGGGCGUAAAGCGCGCGCAGGCGGUCCUUUAAGUCUGAUGUGAAAUCUUGCGGCUCAACCGCAAGCGGUCAUUGGAAACUGGGGGACUUGAGUGCAGGAGAGGAAAGCGGAAUUCCAUGUGUAGCGGUGAAAUGCGUAGAGAUAUGGAGGAACACCAGUGGCGAAGGCGGCUUUCUGGCCUGUAACUGACGCUGAGGCGCGAAAGCGUGGGGAGCAAACAGG
RNAcentral lists this ribosomal RNA (424 nucleotides) under uncultured bacterium. RNAcentral's name for it is "partial 16S ribosomal RNA". It matches the Rfam family "Bacterial small subunit ribosomal RNA", at positions 360 to 776 of the family's 1533-position model. The record is from RNAcentral.